Non-coding RNA from Triticum urartu, 135 nucleotides. Lineage: Eukaryota; Viridiplantae; Streptophyta; Magnoliopsida; Poales; Poaceae. The record is from Rfam.
GAAGUACUCCUUCUGUUUCAAAAUAAGUAUUUUUGAUUUGUCCAAAUAUUGAUGUAUGUAGACUUGAAACAAGUCUAGAUACAUCCACAUUUGAGCAAAUCUAAGACACUUUUUUUGGGACGGAUGGGGUAACUA